Dreissena polymorpha is the source of this 2353-nucleotide long non-coding RNA. RefSeq lists it as uncharacterized. Lineage: Eukaryota; Metazoa; Mollusca; Bivalvia; Myida; Dreissenidae. The transcript has 4 exons. The record is from RefSeq and is a predicted model, not a curated record.
GCAACUUCAGUCAACACGUAAAACCAAACAAGACGGAGAAAUAUUCCUCUAGAUUCAUGGUUGAACGCGACGGAAUGAACCAACGGCCACUCAAGUUACUAAGAAAACAGUUUGGAAACGUCCCACCGUCGCUACCCUAUCGGGGCGGAAAGGCUCUCGUUGCACCGCCCGAGAGGUUCCAGGGGUCCUCUGUGGCUACGAAAACUGGUGAGACUAACAACAGACACGUGUGGGUCGAACUAACGGACUUCAGAUGCUCUUCAAAAUGUCCUUCAAAAAAGCCGGGGAACUGGCAUUGUUUGAAGGAUGACGAACCUGUGUUAAUUUCCCAGCUAGGGGUCAUCAAAUGUAAGAGCGGUGAGCAUCAAGGUAAACAACAUCGUCGAAAAAAAAAGUUGUUUGUUUUUUGUUUUAAGUCCAUAUCGGCGGUAUUUUUUCUUAAAUUAUGUGAUGUAUACAUUUGAAUGUAUAUAUUAUUUUUCAGCAGAAUUUCAACGACUUCGAAAGGUGUGUGGAUGAACGAAAAAAAGAUAUAAGCCUCCUGUGGAAUCCCGUGGCACAGUAUUAUUAUUCUGAAGCAAAAUUAUAACUAAGCAUUUAUACACGUAAAUGAAACAAGCUUUAAGCGACUUUUUAAUGAAUACUAAUAAAAAAUGCUAUGUUAUUUAUUAAAAGAUCAUGGCAUUUUAACCGCUAAUAUGCCCCUUAAGACUAACGUUUCAAUCACGUGGUGUUUAUAUCUUAAUGUGCCAAUACAAAAUGCAUACACUAGAGUUAUACGCUCGACAUCCUAUUCAUAUGUGGUCAUAGAGGCUCUUAUUAAAUAUUGUUAGAACGGUUGACUUUGUUUUUUCAAUGAACUUCCAGGGGAUAUUUAACAAAUACACAUACAGAGAAACUUUAGCGGCACCACCAGGAGAUAAAUCUUAAUGUACACUGCGGUCCUUUACUUAUGGAAAAGAACCUUUUGCUAAACAUUUGGACCCAAACAAAUACACUUGACAAAACAAACAAGUACAAUACGAAAGCACAAACAUGAAAUAAACUGUGGUCACCGCAUUGGAACGGUCAAUGCAAAAGAACUGUUGGUUGAAACCGAUUUCUAGGAGCUCCAAACUUUGCACUUGGACCAGCAUUCUUCAUAAAACAUUUAAGUUUUGAAAUAAAUUAAUCCCAUAGCCCUACGAUAGAAAUGAAACGGAUGCCCGAUUACCCCGAUAUGUGUUUGUCAAACUAACGCCGUGAAGUAAUGAAAAUAGCUCUCGGGUAGAUCUACCUAGGUGUCGGGUUGGGUAUCAGUACUCCAUGUUGAGAAUGUGCCAGUGACUUAUGUAAUCGAAUAUAUGCUAAAAUGACUAUAUGUACUUUUUAGAAGAUUUAUCCAUCGUUAACAUGUUUAAAUUUGGCGUAUAAAAUUACUAAUACGCAAGUAAAGGUAUGAAAUAAAGGAUUUUUAGAUUGUAUUGAGAAAUCUGCUUUAUGGGUACUGCUUCUUUCUGUUGAAGUCGACGAGGCAGUACAUUUGUGUAUACAUGUUUUCCACUAAAGUAGUAGUGAGGUUGCAUUCUAAAGAUGCAACUCUUUGAAAAGACCAGAUUUCAGCAGUAGUUAUAUAAUGUAUUCGACGCAUCCCAAAGUGCAUUUAUUUUUAUUAUUUAUUAUUCAAAUAUGAAUGUUAAGGCAAUAACGCGUGUAUAAUUGUAUAUGUUUAUACGAGUAUCCAUAACCUAUUGCACUUGUAAUUGGCAUGUGUUCAAUGUCCUUUCUUUUGCGAACAUCCUUAAGAAGCUGUCAGCGUUUUGAUGUAAAGGUAAAACUUCUUACUACAGGUGACGUACACCAAUGGGGAUGGAAUUGUGGGUCAGAGUACCACAAGGGAAAAUUAUUUUUCCAGUCCGAUAUGGAGGAAUUUACCUGGGCCCUCUCUCAGGCCGUACAGCUAAUUGGGAGAAUGGGCAGCGUAUGGACUAGGGAACUCAUAACUUCAAUCGGAAAGCAGUACGACAGGUCAAACAGCCGAAAUAAUUCCCGAGAAUGUGCCACAGCGAAUCUGUUCCAUACAAAACACUGAAUAACUUUUCAAUUGUUAGGAUAUCAUUUAAGACUAUGUGAUAAUUCUUUUUAUUAACAAACUUGGUCUUUACGACAAGCGUCAUUGUUAGUUGGACAAUGUGUUUAUAUUCAGAUUGUAACAUCUGUUGUAUUUGUUUCGGGGGUUUCUUUUAUGCAUAUAUUUUCAAUAUCGAUUAUAUGUUGAUGUUGUUGUUGUAUUUAGAAUAUUGUCAUUCUAAAAUUUAGGAAUUGAUUUCAAUACAUGACAACUUGCAUGUUUACUUAAGCGUAUUUGUGAUUC